GAUUUCUUUCCGGAUUAAGGCAUUUAUGGCGCUUCGGAGGCGGCCUGCGUUCGAAUUAAGUGUGGGUGGAGGGUAAUUGGCUCACAGCCGACGAUUCGUAGCUGUUCUGAGGAGGAUGACCAGCCAGACUGGAACUGAGACACGGUCCAGACUCCUACGGGAGGCAGCAGUGGAGGAAUCUUCCACAAUGGGCGAAAUCCUGAUGGAGCAACGCCGCGUGCAGGAUGAAGGCUUAGGGUUGUAAACUGCUUUAUAAGUGAGGAAUAUGACGGUAACUUAUGAAUAAGGAUCGGCUAACUACGUGCCAGCAGCCGCGGUCAUACGUAGGAUCCAAGCGUUAUCCGGAGUGACUGGGCGUAAAGAGUUGCGUAGGUGGUUUGUAAAGCGAAUAGUGAAAUCUGGCGGCUCAACCGUACAGGCUAUUAUUCGAACUCACAAACUCGAGAAUGGUAGAGGUAACUGGAAUUUCUUGUGUAGGAGUGAAAUCCGUAGAUAUAAGAAGGAACACCAAUGGCGUAGGCAGGUUACUGGACCAUUUCUGACACUGAGGCACGAAAGCGUGGGGAGCGAACCGGAUUAGAUACCCGGGUAGUCCACGCCGUAAACGAUGGAUACUAGCUGUUGGAGGUAUCGACCCCUUCAGUAGCGAAGCUAACGCGUUAAGUAUCCCGCCUGUGGAGUACGGUCGCAAGACUAAAACAUAAAGGAAUUGACGGGGACCCGCACAAGCGGUGGAUCGUGUUCUUUAAUUCGAUGCUAAACGAAAAACCUUACCAGGGCUUGACAUCUAGGGAAGGUCUGCGAAAGUAGACUGUGCCUUUUGGAACCCUAUGACAGGUGAUGCAUGGCCGUCGUCAGCUCGUGUCGUGAGAUGUUUGGUUAAGUCCAUCAACGAGCGCAACCCUUGUGAAUAGUUGAAUUUUUCUAUUCAGACUGCCCCGGUAACGGGGAGGAAGGAGGGGAUGAUGUCAGGUCAGUAUUUCCCUUACGUCCUGGGCUAGAAACACGAUACAAUGGCAAGUACAAUGCGCAGCGAAACAGCAAUGUGGAGCAAAUCGCAUCAAAGCUUGUCUCAGUUCGGAUUGGAGGCUGAAACUCGCCUCCAUGAAGUCGGAAUCGCUAGUAAUCGCAAAUCAGUAAGUUGCGGUGAAUACGUUCCCGGGUCUUGUACACACCGCCCGUCAAACCAUGAAAGUGACCAACACCCGAAGUCCGAUCGUCGGCCUAAGUGUUCC
This 1235-nucleotide ribosomal RNA is filed under the name uncultured bacterium. RNAcentral describes it as "bacterial SSU rRNA". It matches the Rfam family "Bacterial small subunit ribosomal RNA", at positions 187 to 1450 of the family's 1533-position model. The record is from RNAcentral.